This 253-nucleotide ribosomal RNA is filed under the name uncultured bacterium. RNAcentral's name for it is "partial 16S ribosomal RNA". It matches the Rfam family "Bacterial small subunit ribosomal RNA", at positions 524 to 776 of the family's 1533-position model. The record is from RNAcentral.
UACGAAGGGGGCUAGCGUUGCUCGGAAUCACUGGGCGUAAAGCGCCCGUCGGCGGCUUUCUAAGUCAGGGGUGAAAUCCUGGAGCUCAACUCCAGAACUGCCUUUGAUACUGGAGAGCUUGAGUCCGGGAGAGGUGAGUGGAACUCCGAGUGUAGAGGUGAAAUUCGUAGAUAUUCGGAAGAACACCAGUGGCGAAGGCGGCUCACUGGCCCGGUACUGACGCUGAGGUGCGAAAGCGUGGGGAGCAAACAGG